CUACCCUGCUUCCAGGAAAAGCCACUAAGCUUCAGUCUAGAAUUGACCGUACCGCAAACCGACACAGGUGGGCAGGUAGAAGAUACUAAGGCGCUUGAGAGAACUCAGGAGAAGGAACUCGGCAAAUUGAUACCGUAACUUCGGGAGAAGGUAUGCCCCUGUAGCUUGUAGGAGAACAUCCGAAGGGCGACGGGGCCGCAGAGAAUCGGUGGCUGCGACUGUUUAUUAAAAACACAGCACUCUGCAAACACGAAAGUGGACGUAUAGGGUGUGACGCCUGCCCGGUGCCGGAAGGUUAAGUGAUGGGGUGCAAGCUCUUGAUCGAAGCCCCGGUAAACGGCGGCCGUAACAAUAACGGUCCUAAGGUAGCGAAAUUCCUUGUCGGGUAAGUUCCGACCUGCACGAAUGGCGUAACGAUGGCCACACUGUCUCCUCCUGAGACUCAGCGAAGUUGAAGUGUUUGUGAAGAUGCAAUCUCCCCGCGGCUAGACGGAAAGACCCCAUGAACCUUUACUGUAGCUUUGCAUUGGACUUUGACGGGACUUGUGUAGGAUAGGUGGGAGGCGCUGAGACCAGGACGCUAGUUCUGGUGGAGCCGUCCUUGAAAUACCACCCUGGUGUCGUUGAGGUUCUAACCUAGGUCCAUCAUCUGGAUCGGGGACCGUGCAUGGUAGGCAGUUUGACUGGGGCGGUCUCCUCCCAAAAGGUAACGGAGGAGUACGAAGGUCUUCUAGGUACGGUCGGACAUCGUACUGAUAGUGCAAUGGCAAAAGAAGGCUUGACUGCGAGACCGACAAGUCGAGCAGGUGCGAAAGCAGGUCAUAGUGAUCCGGUGGUUCUGUAUGGAAGGGCCAUCGCUCAACGGAUAAAAGGUACUCUGGGGAUAACAGGCUGAUUCCGCUCAAGAGUUCACAUCGACGGCGGAGUUUGGCACCUCGAUGUCGGCUCAUCACAUCCUGGGGCUGUAGCCGGUCCCAAGGGUAUGGCUGUUCGCCAUUUAAAGUGGUACGUGAGCUGGGUUUAAAACGUCGUGAGACAGUUUGGUCCCUAUCUGCCGUGGGCGCUGGAUAUUUGAGGGGGCCUGCUCCUAGUACGAGAGGACCGGAGUGGACGGAUCUCUGGUGUACCGGUUGUGACGCCAGUCGCAUCGCCGGGUAGCUAAAUCCGGAAGAGAUAACCGCUGAAAGCAUCUAAGCGGGAAACUCGCCUCGAGAUGAGAUAUCCCUGGGAACUUGAUUCCCCUGAAGGGUCGUCGAAGACCACGACGUUGAUAGGUCGGGUGUGGAAGUG
Molecule: ribosomal RNA, 1290 nt
Filed under: metagenome
Description: bacterial LSU rRNA
Rfam family: Bacterial large subunit ribosomal RNA
Source: RNAcentral